GGCCAGACUCCUCAGCCUGAAAUCCUGCUUCCACUAAGUACCAGCUGGGUAACUUCAGUUUCAGGCCCUGGAGGUCCAUGCUUCUGCCCAAGCUGUGUCUCAUCUCUGCAGGUGGAGCCCAGUUGACAGGAAAUGUUUCUCCAGAAGCUGAAAAGCUGCCUGGUAAAGGCCUUUCAUAAAAUGGUCUGCGUUUGGGACCAGGAAGACAGAAGACUCCUCAAGAAGAGAACUGGAACCUUAACCCACUUCAGACUUCUUCAUGUCUGAAGCUUAUUUCCACCAUCCCAUUGAGAACCAAAGAAGCGAGCUCCUUGGAGAAUCGGCUCCCACCUGGACCUUCUGUUUAUCCUUCCAAUAGCUGCUGCAUUCAUCCUUCCCAGCUAAUGACACUUCCAGCCUUUCGUGUUUCAAAGUAUCACGGACUUUGCAAAAGAUUCCAGGUUUCUAUGGAGCAGAUAGUACUUUUAACAAUCAACAUGUGCAUUAUUAUUUCCUCCUAAGGCAUACUUAGACAUCAAUGCAUGCUACAGCAAGGCAACUUAUCUCACCCUCACCAAGGUAUGAACUUCAGAAUUUGAACUUGUUCCUUUGGGGUAAGUUGUAUCACCAGCACUCACUAACAGACUGUAUUUUCCAGUGAGGUUUCAUUCUGUUUCAGAUAUUCUGCACUUUCAGUGGCAAAAUUUUAAAGAAAAGGAGACAAAAUGGAACACAAAUUCAAUAUGACUAUUGUCAUCCUUCCCUCCCAGGAAGUGUAGGAAUCAUCCAAAGUGGUAAAAGAGCAGCGCUUCUAAACUCUGACUUCACAUGGAAAAUAACGCGACUACUAAAACUGAUAACAAUAGCAGUCCAUGCCAUUUGACAGG
RNAcentral lists this long non-coding RNA (866 nucleotides) under Homo sapiens (human). RNAcentral's name for it is "non-protein coding LINC00968:11". The record is from RNAcentral. Lineage: Eukaryota; Metazoa; Chordata; Mammalia; Primates; Hominidae.